GAUGAACGCUGGCGGCGUGCCUAACACAUGCAAGUCGAACGGAGUCGUUUUGGAAAUCUCUUCGGAGAUGGAAUUCACGACUUAGUGGCGGACGGGUGAGUAACGCGUGAGCAAUCUGCCUUUAAGAGGGGGAUAACAGUCGGAAACGGCUGCUAAUACCGCAUAAAGCAUUAAAUUCGCAUGUUUUUGAUGCCAAAGGAGCAAUCCGCUUUUAGAUGAGCUCGCGUCUGAUUAGCUAGUUGGCGGGGUAACGGCCCACCAAGGCGACGAUCAGUAGCCGGACUGAGAGGUUGAACGGCCACAUUGGGACUGAGACACGGCCCAGACGCCUACGGGAGGCAGCAGUGGGGAAUAUUGCGCAAUGGGGGAAACCCUGACGCAGCAACGCCGCGUGAUUGAAGAAGGCCUUCGGGUUGUAAAGAUCUUUAAUCAGGGACGAAACAAAUGACGGUACCUGAAGAAUAAGCUCCGGCUAACUACGUG
Molecule: ribosomal RNA, 483 nt
Filed under: uncultured bacterium
Lineage: Bacteria
Description: partial 16S ribosomal RNA
Rfam family: Bacterial small subunit ribosomal RNA
Source: RNAcentral